Molecule: non-coding RNA, 1241 nt
Organism: Nicotiana tabacum (common tobacco)
Lineage: Eukaryota; Viridiplantae; Streptophyta; Magnoliopsida; Solanales; Solanaceae
Source: RefSeq, a predicted model, not a curated record
CUUCAAACCAUUCUGUGUAGACUAUUAGCCUUCACUGCAUCUGAUCUGAGUGGAUGCGAAGAACUCACAGGCAAGUCAUAAAGGCAAAGGGAAGGUGAUGCCUUUCUUCCAGGAACUUACAUUUGGAAGCAGCCUGGACAUUUAACAUCCUGCAACGGUUGAUCAAAAGUUACACAAGCAAGGACAAAGACAAAAGGCAUAAAUCAUAUAUAUAGAUCACAAUCAAAUCCAAAAUAUCAGUGAUUAAUGGUAGAUACCAGAAAAGUAGAAUCAGGUGAUGGGACCAAACGCUUAAGCUUGUGCUUUUGCUUCUCAAGCUCAGCAGGAGGGUGAAGCAAGUCAAUGUCGUUUGAUAUCUUUGGAAUACCCUAAUUAAGGCCACAGGAAAAGAACAUGAAACCACAAUUGCCAAGUAACUCAUGUCAAAGUCCAAAAGAAAGAGAUUCAAGUGGUCACUCACCAUUUUGUCUUGGAGCUUUUGUCACAGAUGUUGCAAGUUGCUGUCAAUCAAUAGAAACAAAGAAACGUGAGAUAUUAUCUCUUUACACAUUCAUAAAAGCACUUGCAAUAGUAAAUAAAGGAGGGCCACGGAAUCAACAAAUCAUGUCUUCAAGAAACAAAACAGCAUGAAAGACAUAACUCAUCAAUCACCAAGUGUGAUCAGGUCUUGAACUACUUGGAGUCGAAUCUUUUCCAACCGUUUCCCUAUGUUCUAGCCCAUUCCAUAAUGAGAUGGAACCCCUUCCAGAGGCGAAUCCAGGAUUUAAGGUCUAUGCUCCGUGUUGAAAGUAUUGGGAUCAGAUGAACCCAGUACUCAAACGAUGCAUGCUCCCCUGCCCGUUGCCCACUUGACACCGCCUAAUGAAAUUGUUAAUUCUUCACAGUGUAACAAGACUCUAUGAAACAGCCUCUUGUAGAAAUGCAGGGUAAGGCUGCGUACAAUAGAACUUUGUGGUCCGGCCCUUUUCCGGAUCCCGCGCAUAGCGGGAGCUUAGUGCACCUGGCUGUCAUUUUUUCACAGUGUAAAAAUGAAUAUAACUCUCUUUUGGUAUGAAUAGGUCACUGGUCUAGGCAUGCACACUCGACUGCUAAUGUAGGACAUGUAAAUGUGAGUAUGUCCCAACGAAUUCAAUGCUCAUAGGAAUACAGACUUGAACUGGUUAUAUGAAGCUUAUAGGCAGAACCAGUUGGUAUUACUUGCAAAACUGAUAGGAAUAAACUUGAAGGCUUGGUUGGUAUUA